AUUGAACGCUGGCGGCAGGCCUAACACAUGCAAGUCGAACGGUAGCACAGAGAGCUUGCUCUCGGGUGACGAGUGGCGGACGGGUGAGUAACGUCUGGGAAACUGCCCGAUGGAGGGGGAUAACUACUGGAAACGGUAGCUAAUACCGCAUAACGUCGCAAGACCAAAGUGGGGGACCUUCGGGCCUCACACCAUCGGAUGUGCCCAGAUGGGAUUAGCUAGUAGGUGGGGUAAUGGCUCACCUAGGCGACGAUCCCUAGCUGGUCUGAGAGGAUGACCAGCCACACUGGAACUGAGACACGGUCCAGACUCCUACGGGAGGCAGCAGUGGGGAAUAUUGCGCAAUGGGCGCAAGCCUGAUGCAGCCAUGCCGCGUGUAUGAAGAAGGCCUUCGGGUUGUAAAGUACUUUCAGCGGGGAGGAAGGCGGUGAAGUUAAUAACUUCACCGAUUGACGUUACCCGCAGAAGAAGCACCGGCUAACUCCGUGCCAGCCGCCGCCGUAA
RNAcentral lists this ribosomal RNA (504 nucleotides) under uncultured bacterium. RNAcentral's name for it is "partial 16S ribosomal RNA". It matches the Rfam family "Bacterial small subunit ribosomal RNA", at positions 30 to 523 of the family's 1533-position model. The record is from RNAcentral.